RNAcentral lists this ribosomal RNA (452 nucleotides) under uncultured Smithella sp. Its description in RNAcentral is "bacterial SSU rRNA". It matches the Rfam family "Bacterial small subunit ribosomal RNA", at positions 929 to 1382 of the family's 1533-position model. The record is from RNAcentral. Lineage: Bacteria; Pseudomonadati; Thermodesulfobacteriota; Syntrophia; Syntrophales; Smithellaceae.
GCAGCGGAGCAUGUGGUUUAAUUCGAAGCAACGCGAAGAACCUUUACCAGGUCUUGACAUCCUCUGACAAUCUGAGAGAUCAGACUUUCCCUUCGGGGACAGAGAGACAGGUGGUGCAUGGUUGUCGUCAGCUCGUGUCGUGAGAUGUUGGGUUAAGUCCCGCAACGAGCGCAACCCUUAUCUUUAAUUGCCAGCAUUCAGUUGGGCACUUUAAAGAGACUGCCGGUGUUAAACCGGAGGAAGGUGGGAUGACGUCAAGUCCUCAUGGCCUUUAUGCUUAGGGCUACACACGUGCUACAAUGGGUGGUACAAAGAGAAGCCAACUCGCGAGAGCGCGCCAAUCUCAAAAAGCCAUCCUCAGUUCGGAUUGGAGUCUGCAACUCGACUCCAUGAAGUUGGAAUCGCUAGUAAUCGCGGAUCAGCAUGCCGCGGUGAAUACGUUCCCGGGCCUU